AUGGAAAAUAUGAAGCAAUUAGAAGACGAAGAAACAAAAAACAUGACAACCAUAAAGGAGACAAUUAAAAGACAAAGACAACUAACAUGUCAAGUAAUGGAGGAGAUUGAACAACUUUUGGAAGAGACACAAAGACAGAGAGAUGAAAAUUACCACUUGAAGACAAAGACAGAGCAGCAACAAGAGGACAUUGACACGCAGGGAUCUCAAAAACAUGAGCAGCACUUAUUGACAGAAGGACUGAGCCUGCAGAUAGAAAAUAUUGUUGAGAAGCUCAAGGAGAAUAAAAAUGCUGCCACUCAAGAAAAAAUACAACUUCAGAAGAUGUGGGCUGAGAUAUACCAAGAGAGAGAAACUCUGGAAAGAAGACGAAAAGAGAUCAUCAGUGAGCGGCACAAGUUGGAAAUGAUUAAGUAUGAUAAGACAACAUCACAAGAAAGUAAGGAACCUGAAGAGGCCAUGGAGCGGGAGAUAAUAGAGAGGCUGGUGGCUGACAUGAACAAAAAUAAGAAAAUACUCCUAGAAGCAAAGCAGGAAAAAGAACAUGUGGAGAAAAACAUGGCGGACAUAAAGCAAGAGUUGAAGAGAAAUAGAAAGGAUAUUUCACACUAUAGAGAUCAAAUUGAGCACAUCAAACAAAAUGUGACUGUUAAUAUUAACAAGAUGAAGCAAAGGUGGACCAAAAUUCAAAUGGAUGUUCAAAUGCAGAAAGCCACAGUCCUAGAGAUGGAAAGCAAAGAAAGAGAGAAAGAAGGAAGAGACACAUUUGACACUGUGAGGAUGAAAUUCAGCAGAAUCCGAGAAGAGAUACAGAAACUUUGGGAUGUGCUGGAAGACAGUGAACCACAACUGGAACAGCUAAAGACAGAAAAAUCUGACUCUGAAAAGCAAAGACCAGACACAGAUGUAAGCAUGAAGCUAACAAAGUGGGAAACAGAGAUGCAGUGGCAAAAACAAGACAUAGAGAACAAGUUGGCACAGGUUCAGUCUGAAAGAGAUGACAUAGAAAGAACCAAAACUAAAAUGCAGAUGGAGAGAGAGAACAUUGAGAGGGACAGGCAGUCAGCUAAAGCAGAAAUGGAUGCAAUGAAGUGUAUGAGGGAGAGCAUUGAAAGGCAAAAGCAGGAGCUGGAUGACAGGUUACAGAGGACAAAGAGAGAGAUGAGAGAGCUGAAAGUCAUGAACACUGAGAUUGAAAUAAAGAAAAAUGACCUGGUGAAAAUGAUAGGAAUGAGCAGGAGAAAAAAGGAAGAGAUCAGUAAGAUGAAGGGUGAGACUGCUGAAGAAGACACAGAGGAAAGACAAGAUAUGACUAAGGGGCAGAGGUCAAAGCAGAAGCAGGAGGCGGAGGACAGAUCUAAUGAGCAGAAACGCUGCGACAGCACCAAAGAAAUAACACAACCUGAAGAACAUCAGUUUGAGGAGGGACAACAUGGAGACUAG
RNAcentral lists this long non-coding RNA (1443 nucleotides) under Dicentrarchus labrax (European seabass). RNAcentral describes it as "lncRNA (ENSDLAG00005033258.1)". Lineage: Eukaryota; Metazoa; Chordata; Actinopteri; Moronidae. The record is from RNAcentral.